CCUACGGGUGGCAGCAGUGAGGAAUAUUGGUCAAUGGACGAGAGUCUGAACCAGCCAAGUAGCGUGAAGGAUGACUGCCCUAUGGGUUGUAAACUUCUUUUAUAUGGGAGUAAAAUGUUCCACGUGUGGGAUUUUGUAUGUACCAUAUGAAUACGGAUCGGCUAACUCCGUGCCAGCAGCCGCGGUAAUACGGAGGAUCCGAGCGUUCUCCGGAUUUAUUGGGUUUAAAGGUAGCGUAGGGGGAUUGUUAAGUCAGUUGUGAAAGUUUGCGGCGUAACCGUAAAAUUGCAGUUGAAACUUGCAGUCUAGAGUACAGUAGAGGUGGGCGGAAUUCGUGGUGUAGCGGUGAAAUGCUUAGAUAUCACGAAGAACUCCGAUUGCGAAGGCAGCUUACUGGACUUCAACUGACACUGAGGGUCGAAAGUGUGGGUAUCAAACAGGAUUAGAUACCCUUGUAGUC
This 460-nucleotide ribosomal RNA is filed under the name uncultured bacterium. RNAcentral's name for it is "partial 16S ribosomal RNA". It matches the Rfam family "Bacterial small subunit ribosomal RNA", at positions 338 to 795 of the family's 1533-position model. The record is from RNAcentral.